UACGGAGGGGGCUAGCGUUGUUCGGAAUUACCGGGCGUAAAGCGCGUGUAGGCUGACCGGAAAGUCAAACGUGAAAACCCUGGGCUCAACCCAGGAACUGCACUCGAAACUCCCGGUCUAGAAUGGUAGAGAGGGAAGUGGAAUUCCUGAUGUAGAGGUGAAAUUCGUAGAUAUCAGAAGGAACACCAGUAGCGAAGGCAACUUCCUGGACACCAACUGACGCUGAGACGCGAAAGCGUGGAGAGCAAACAGG
Molecule: ribosomal RNA, 253 nt
Filed under: uncultured bacterium
Lineage: Bacteria
Description: partial 16S ribosomal RNA
Rfam family: Bacterial small subunit ribosomal RNA
Source: RNAcentral